RNAcentral lists this ribosomal RNA (373 nucleotides) under uncultured organism. RNAcentral's name for it is "partial 16S ribosomal RNA". It matches the Rfam family "Bacterial small subunit ribosomal RNA", at positions 527 to 896 of the family's 1533-position model. The record is from RNAcentral.
GGAGGUGGCGAGCGUUGUUCGGAUUUACUGGGCGUAAAGCGUGCGUAGGUGGUUUUGUGGUGUCGGAUGUGAAAGCCCACGGGCUCAACCGUGGAACUGCAUUCGAAACUGCAGAACUAGAGUGCAGGAGGGGAGAGCGGAAUUCUUGGUGUAGCGGUGAAAUGCGUUGAUAUCAAGAAGAACACCGGUGGCGAAGGCGGCUCUCUGGAAUGUUACUGACACUGAGGCACGAAAGCUGGGGGAGCGGACAGGAUUAGAUACCCUGGUAGUCCCAGCCGUAAACGGUGCACACUUGGUGUGGGGAGAUUUAACCCUCUCCGUGCCGUAGCUAACGCGUUAAGUGUGCCGCCUGGGGAGUACGGCCGCAAGGCUA